Molecule: ribosomal RNA, 504 nt
Filed under: uncultured bacterium
Lineage: Bacteria
Description: partial 16S ribosomal RNA
Rfam family: Bacterial small subunit ribosomal RNA
Source: RNAcentral
GAUAAACGCUAGCGGCAGGCUUAACACAUGCAAGUCGAGGGGCAGCAUAGAUUGUAGCAAUACAAUUGGUGGCGACCGGCGCACGGGUGCGUAACGCGUAUGCAACCUGCCCGUCACAGGGGGAUAAUCCGGAGAAAUCUGGUCUAAUACCCCAUAACAUAUGGAUCGGCAUCGGUUCAUGUUGAAAUUUUCGGAGGUGACGGAUGGGCAUGCGUAGCAUUAGCUUGCUGGUGAGGUAACGGCUCACCAAGGCGACGAUGGUUAGGGGGACUGGGAGGUUUUCCCCCCACACUGGUACUGGGACACGGACCAGACUCCUACGGGAGGCAGCAGUGAGGAAUAUUGGUCAAUGGGCGCAAGCCUGAACCAGCCAUGCCGCGUGCAGGAUGACGGCUCUAUGAGUUGUAAACUGCUUCUGUACGAGGGUAAAGUGGGUUACGUGUAACCUUUUGAAAGUAUCGUACGAAUAAGGAUCGGCUAACUCCGUGCCAGCCGCCGCCGUAA